Molecule: transfer RNA, 69 nt
Filed under: Diaclina fagi
Lineage: Eukaryota; Metazoa; Arthropoda; Insecta; Coleoptera; Tenebrionidae
Description: tRNA-Lys
Rfam family: tRNA
About the family: Transfer RNA (tRNA) molecules are approximately 80 nucleotides in length. Their secondary structure includes four short double-helical elements and three loops (D, anti-codon, and T loops). Further hydrogen bonds mediate the characteristic L-shaped molecular structure. tRNAs have two regions of fundamental functional importance: the anti-codon, which is responsible for specific mRNA codon recognition, and the 3' end, to which the tRNAs corresponding amino acid is attached (by aminoacyl-tRNA synthetases). tRNAs cope with the degeneracy of the genetic code in two manners: having more than one tRNA (with a specific anti-codon) for a particular amino acid; and 'wobble' base-pairing, i.e. permitting non-standard base-pairing at the 3rd anti-codon position.
Source: RNAcentral
CAUUAGAUGGCUGAAAGUAAGCAAUGGUCUCUUAAACCAGAAUAUAGUAAUUAACAUCUACUUCUAAUG